GAAAAAAAAUAUUGAAGCUGCUAACUUUGAUUGGGGGGGGGUUCUCCUUUUUU
This 53-nucleotide transfer RNA is filed under the name Biomphalaria tenagophila. RNAcentral's name for it is "tRNA-Ser". Lineage: Eukaryota; Metazoa; Mollusca; Gastropoda; Planorbidae. The record is from RNAcentral.